GAUUCCACUGGAAGGCUAUUCCAGGUACCUCUCCCUGUGUCUACAAUAUGUGUGUGCUCUCCCAGUGUCUGUGUACAUAAUGUGUGCGCUCUCCUAGUGUCUGUGUACAUAAUGUGUGCGCUCUCCCAGUGUCUGUGUACAUAAUGUGUGCGCUCUCCCAGUGUCUGUGUACAUAAUGUGUGCGCUCUCCCAGUGUCUGUGUACAUAAUGUGUGCUCUCCCUGUGUCUGUGUAUAUAAUGUGUGCUCUCCCUGUGUCUGUGUAUAUAAUGUGUGCUCUCCCUGUGUCUGUGUAUAUAAUGUGUGCUCUCCCUGUGUCUGUUCAUAUAAUGAGUGCUCUCCCUGUGUCUGUUUAUAUAACGUGUGUCCUCUCCUUGUGUCUGUGUAUAAUAACAUAAUUGUGUCCUCUCCUUGUGUCUGUGUAUAAUAACAUAAUUGUGACGAACGCCACUUGGCCUGGUCAUUCACCACAGGCUCUUGGAGAAGUGUGAAAGCUAGCCUCCUGCGCACUGACUAUGGGCCAUGGGAAAGGCUUACAAACAGACUUCGUGGGAAUUAUAUAUACUGUUCUGGAACCGAACCAACUCACGAACUGUGGACCACCUUUGGGCUUGUUAAACCCUGGUAACCUCUCCUGACUCUUCAAUUAUCGUGAGUUCUAAUUGUGCGGCUGGGUGGCCGCCGUUCGUAUGCACGAACAUGUCUGCGGGAAUGCAGGCAGCGGUGUUUGGGCAUUGAUCGUAUGGAACUAAAAUCGUUUGAUGAGCGGUAUGUCCCUGGCCUACAUUCUUAUACAUUGGCUUGCUGGUGGCUUUCAUUAUCUUGUUAGAAAGCAAUGACACGAAACCAUGGGAUACACAGCAGCAAGCUGGAAGGUCGUCAAGGAGGUAAACGUUAUAAUGCCACCAUACAGCAUUACACAUCUGAGAAGGAACAAAUCUGGGGCUCAGCGUCUGGUAAACGAAACAUUAUAAUGGUGAGGACACGCACGUUACGGGAGUGACUGUGGUAUGAUCCUUUACCGACCUCAUAGGAGUUUAACACAGGGUUCAGAAAACUGCUAAGAG
This is a non-coding RNA of Pelobates cultripes (western spadefoot toad), 1065 nucleotides long. Lineage: Eukaryota; Metazoa; Chordata; Amphibia; Anura; Pelobatidae. The record is from the annotation of a GenBank genome assembly.